Molecule: long non-coding RNA, 1091 nt
Filed under: Erythranthe guttata (spotted monkey flower)
Lineage: Eukaryota; Viridiplantae; Streptophyta; Magnoliopsida; Lamiales; Phrymaceae
Description: long non-coding RNA (EGUT_LNC000099)
Source: RNAcentral
UUCAACAAAGAACAAAUCAUCAUAAUCAAUUAGUACCGAACAAAAAAUUGGAUAUACACAAUCAUCAAAAUCACUAUACAUCAGAAAAAACACAUAGUUUAUAUAUAACUAUAUAUUACUACAUGUUACGACAUGUGACUAAAUAUGACUAUAUAUUACUACAUGUUACGACAUGUGACUAUAUAUGACUAUAUGUAUAUGACUACAUGUAACUAUAUAUGACUACAUAUUACUACAUGUUACGACAUGUGACUAUAUAUGACUAUAUGUAUAUGACCACAUGUGACUAUAUAUGACUAUAUAUAUAUGACCACAUGUGACUAUAUAUGACUACAUGUAUAUGACCACAUGUGACUAUAUGAGUAUAGUCAUAUAUAGUGUAGUUUGUGGUAUAUAGCUUCAAAUCCCACUUUUCAGUACGACAACAACCCCGAUCUCUCGACAAAACUUAUUACAUAGAGGUUGUCAAACACGAAGACCUGUGACAAAAAAAUCAAGUUCAGUUUAAAUAUUUACAUUAUAUAUUAAUUUAUAACCAAUAAAUACAGAUCAAAAUAACAAUCACAUGCAUAUGUUACUAUAUGUUACUAUAUAUUACUACACAUUAUUAUAUAGAACAAUAGUAAUUUGUAGUUUGACUAUAUUUUCCAAAUUCAUCUACAGCUUCAAUCAAAAUUUGGACACCUUCAAAGAAAAGACCAAUGGUUUCCAUUAAUUUACAAUUUCAAACUCAGGAAAACACAAAUUAACAAAAGACUACUAAUAAUUAAAUUGAUUAACACAAAAUUGAUGGGAAGAAAGAGAGCAACGAAACGAAAAAAAACCAACCACGAUGCUUAUAGCCUGCUAUUUUGUUGUAUUAUAUGUGAGCUUUGAAGAUUUACUCAAAAAAAAGAUGUGAGCUUUGAAGAUGAUAACCUUUUUACUUUAUUCUUUGCAGAAUGCUUUAUUUAAAAAAAACCAAAAAAAAAAAAAAAAAAAAAAACAGAAAAAACCAAAAAAAAACUUAUCAAACUCAAAAUUACCCUCCCAUGAGGAUGAGUCAGCAAACCAAAUAAUCACAACGACGGCCGAUUUCAAAGCGGUGGGGG